Molecule: ribosomal RNA, 442 nt
Filed under: uncultured bacterium
Lineage: Bacteria
Description: partial 16S ribosomal RNA
Rfam family: Bacterial small subunit ribosomal RNA
Source: RNAcentral
CCUACGGGCGGCAGCAGUGGGGAAUAUUGUGCAAUGGGCGCAAGCCUGACCCAGCAACGCCGCGUGAAGGAAGAAGGCUUUCGGGUUGUAAACUUCUUUUGUCAGGGAAGAGUAUAAGACGGUACCUGACGAAUAAGCCACGGCUAACUACGUGCCAGCAGCCGCGGUAAUACGUAGGUGGCAAGCGUUGUCCGGAUUUACUGGGUGUAAAGGGCGUGUAGCCGGGUUGACAAGUCAGAUGUGAAAUCCUGCGGCUUAACCGCAGAACUGCAUUUGAAACUGUUGAGCUUGAGUACUGGAGAGGCAGACGGAAUUCCUAGUGUAGCGGUGAAAUGCGUAGAUAUUAGGAGGAACACCAGUGGCGAAGGCGGUCUGCUGGACAGCAACUGACGGUGAGGCGCGAAAGCGUGGGGAGCAAACAGGAUUAGAUACCCGGGUAGUC